Non-coding RNA from Bos taurus (domestic cattle), 57 nucleotides. The record is from Rfam. NCBI's taxonomy places the organism in Eukaryota, Metazoa, Chordata, Mammalia, Artiodactyla, Bovidae.
UAGCUCAGUUGGUAAAGAAUCUGCCUGCAAUGCAGGAGACCCAGGUUCAAUUCCUGG